This 673-nucleotide ribosomal RNA is filed under the name uncultured bacterium. RNAcentral describes it as "bacterial SSU rRNA". It matches the Rfam family "Bacterial small subunit ribosomal RNA", at positions 8 to 698 of the family's 1533-position model. The record is from RNAcentral.
AGAGUUUGAUCUUGGCUCAGAAUCAACGCUGGCGGCGUGCCUCAGACAUGCAAGUCGAACGAUUAAAGCUCUCUUCGGAGAGUGUAUAGAGUGGCGCACGGGUGAGUAACACGUAAGUAAUCUACCCUCGAGUGGGGAAUAACAUCGGGAAACCGAUGCUAAUACCGCAUAACGCAGCGGCACCGCACGGUGACAGUUGUUAAAGGAGUAAUUCGCUUGAGGAGGAGCUUGCGGCAGAUUAGCUAGUUGGUAAGGUAACGGCUUACCAAGGCUACGAUCUGUAUCCGGUCUAAGAGGACGGUCGGACACACUGACACUGAAUAACGGGUCAGACUCCUACGGGAGGCAGCAGUCGGGAAUUUUGGGCAAUGGGCGAAAGCCUGACCCAGCAACGCCGCGUGAAGGAUGAAGUAUUUCGGUAUGUAAACUUCGAAAGAAUGGGAAGAAUAAAUGACGGUACCAUUUAUAAGCUCCGGCUAACUACGUGCCAGCAGCCGCGGUAAUACGUAGGGAGCAAGCGUUGUUCGGAUUUACUGGGCGUAAAGGGCGCGUAGGCGGCGCGGUAAGUCACUUGUGAAAUCUCUGAGCUUACUCAGACGGCCAAGUGAUACUGCAGUGCUAGAGUGCAGAAGGGCAUCGGAUUCUUGGUGUAGCGGUGAAAUGCGUAGAUAUC